ACCCUAGUAGCCGAUGCACACCCUGGGUCUUCCCUUCUCCGUUCUCUUCUCCUUCUUCUUCCUUUUCCUUUGUCUCUGGGCCUGUCACUCUCAAAUCCACACCGCUGCACAUGAUGCAAGCCUAGGCUGUCAAGUUCCUGCCUGAUCCAGAGGGACAGGGGGCCGCCGUUGCUGAAGGCUGCCAGCUCCUACCAUUCAACCGACGAUGUCCCCCCACCCGCCCACCAUCACCCUCCAUCCCUCUCCGCAUCCCAUGCAAAGAAUGAUGGUAACCAUAGAAACAGCAGCCAUUUGAAGGGCUCCCUUGCAAGGGGGUGUUUUACAGGGAAUGAAACCCUCAGAAAUACACAGAGAAAACAGAUUUUUUCAGGAUGACCCACUGGAUCAAGUCCUCAGUGGCUUACAAUCACCAAGGAUUAAGGGGAUUAUUCAGCAGCAUGAGCCAGCACUGGAACUGUGUGAUACUCCUCCACUGUUGAAUGAGUCCAACACACACAGAAACUAGAAAGAAUCUCUCCUAGUAUUGAGGUCAAGCUGAUCACUUAAGAGUUGCCCCAGUCCUCUUUUCUUUCCCCCUUUUGAAGACUGGAUCAACAUUCACCCUCUUCCUCCAAUCUGCUGGGAAGCACAUCUGAAAUGGAGGAGAAAAGCCGGAGAAGAUUCUGUUCACAGUGAUCAUGUUUCACAGUGGUAACUGAAGAAUGCAAAAAAGGAAUGGAUCUUGAGUGCUACUGAGCCAAAAGAAUGGUGGCUGUCCCAGUCAUAGAAUCCUACCCUCAAGGGCCAUCCACUCCAUUCUGCCAUGCAAUAAGACACCAUAAAAGCACUCCCGACAGAUGGCCAUCCAGCCUCUGCUUAAAAACCACCAAAGAAGGAGACCCACCACGAUGUGAGGGAGUGCGUUCAACUGUCAAACGGCUUUUACGGUCAAAAAUACUUCCUAAUAUUUAAGUGGAAUCUCUUUUCCUGUAACUUGAAUCCAUUGCUCUGGGUUCUAGUCGCUGGAGCAGUAGAAAACAAGCUUACUCCAUCCUCAAGAUGACAUCCCUUCAAAUAUUUAAUCAUGGUCAUCAUGUCGCCCUGCAACCUUACCUUCUCCAAGCUGAACAUACCCAGGUCCCUAAGCCACUUCUCAGAGGUCUUGAAGAUUUCCAGACCUUUCACCAUUUUGGUGGCCCACUGGACAUGCUCCAGCUUGUCCACGUCCUUUUUGAAUUGUGGUGUUCAGAAUUGGACACAAUAUUCCAGGUGAGGCCUGACCAAAGCAGAAUAGAGUUGCCCAAGUGGUCAUAGGGCAUGGGGGGGAUGCAUGGUUUUCCUGCCAGAUGUACAAUCUGCACUGGGGCUGGGACAUGGGCACACCAAGGGAGGCAGCCCUGUUGCUGCACCACACCCCUAAGGCAUCAGGAAACGUUGGCCUCACCCACAGACCUUCAGUCAUGGGUGCAACGAAACAACAAAUGGUGAAAAACCAAAAGUGGACUAUGUGAGCGGGGGGUACCCACAAAGGAACUUCUCCUUUCCUUCUUUUUCUGGGCCAAUAUUCUGGAUUCUUACCCAACCUGUGCCAUCCAAGGAUGCCACAUGGGUGCCAUGAUUCACAGUCUCAAGUCAAUUGCUGGUCCCAACCUGAUUUGACCUACUAAAUCUAUGACAUUUUGAUAGUGGCUGUGUACAAAUUCAGCAUUUGGUUCAUAUUUUAGAGACUUUUUUUAAA
This is a long non-coding RNA of Sceloporus undulatus (fence lizard), 1717 nucleotides long. RefSeq lists it as uncharacterized. Lineage: Eukaryota; Metazoa; Chordata; Lepidosauria; Squamata; Phrynosomatidae. The transcript is spliced from 4 exons. The record is from RefSeq and is a predicted model, not a curated record.